UCUGUAACAUUACUAAUUAAGUGUCUUUUUAAUACAUUUUAAUCCACUCAUCAUGGGUUGAGGUGAUCAGGGCAGAUAAGACGGUCAGAUUUACUGCUGAGAACAGUACUCAACAUUAUGACAAACUAAUCCUAACAGCAGUCUAUCUCAUCUAGUAAAACUCACUCUGCAAAUAAUCACAAGUGGGUUUAAAAUGCUUUAAUGCUUAAGUGAUCAUGCUUGAUAUUGAACACAAUAAGAAAAAUGACUUUAAAUUGCACUUUUGAAUUGCGUAUCUACUAAUUACAUGUUGUUUAAAAUCAAAUACAACCAAAGGCCUAACUUUAAAAAGCUCAAAGUUACAUUUACAUUCAUGGCAGACGUUUUUAUCCAAAGUAAAUUACAGUUCAUUAAAUGUAUACAUUUUAUCAGUAUGUGUUCUCCAGGAAACAAACAAAGCACAAAAUCUUCCACCAUUUAAGGUACAGGACAUUGUACAAAAUGUGGCUGGGUGUUAUAUGUGUGUGUUGUCUUAAGUAUAUUGUUAAUUUACUAAUGGCUGUGUGAGUAGAGAGUGACGUGUACAGAACAUUGUGCUCAGCAAAGACUGAUAAUUUUUAAGUCUUUUGGGGGUGGAGAGAAGACCUCUUACUGCGGUGGGACUUAGUCAUGAAUACAGAGUAAAAGUAUUAUAAAGGAGAGAAAUGCUGUAGACAGCAGUCAAAGGAAAACUUGCAAACAUGCUACACCCUUUCAUGAUUGGCAUUAUUACUAUUAAUACAUCCAUCACUAUUGCAUACUGGAUCUUUAUUCUGACAGAAGCCUUUCAUAAGAAGACCGAAGAUGAUGACAAAGACAACCCCGUCUAACCAACUUACAUUAUGUGUAGAUAAAUAUAGAGAAGGUUAGGGUUUUUUAUAAAUGCAUGUUAAAAUGCAUCAUUUUUUUUUUAAAUAAAAUUUUGUCAUUUAAAUCAUCUGAAUUGAACCAAUUGUCCUGAUUCCGGUUUUCCAGUGACAGCUUUACCUCCAGGACAGUUAUUUGAAGCAGUUCACUACUGGUCUACAGGUUAACACUGUUGAAAAAGAGGUAUUCUGCAAGAAAUUGAAGGAUGCACCUGAACCAGAGGAAGUUCCUGUCUGACUUAAGAUCUUGAUUCUGAUCUGGUCAUAAUGAAGAUGAAGACCCAACUAAAUCAUUGUGGGAGGAGGAAGAAAAGAAAAAUAAAGACUCAACAGAUGAAACCCAAAUGAGGACCAGAAGAGAAACCUAAACCAUCAUCAGUUGCAAUCAUUUCCAUGUGACACUUUGAACAAAAAAAUACACAUAUUGCUUAUAAUCUGUAGAAGAUGCAUUUUUGUAAAACAUUCUUACUGUUGAUUUGUUUGUAGUAACUUAGAGCAAUUUCUU
Misgurnus anguillicaudatus (oriental weatherfish) is the source of this 1389-nucleotide non-coding RNA. NCBI's taxonomy places the organism in Eukaryota, Metazoa, Chordata, Actinopteri, Cypriniformes, Cobitidae. The record is from RefSeq and is a predicted model, not a curated record.